CGUUUGUUGUUUUUCUAAUGCAGGUCGAGUGACAUGCGAAGGUGAUGAGGUGUAGGCUCGCGAUGGCGGCUUGCUGGUGGUCGUGGUGAUUCUGUGAGGGUGGUGAUGGUGCUACGAGUCGAAUUUGUGAUGAAGAUGACGAGGGGGCGUGAUGAUGGCGGCAACGCUGUGCUUCUGCUUCUGGAUCGUUUGACGAUUCAAUGGGGCGAAGAAGAUGCACAAGCUUUGUGCCGCUAGCUCGGUGGCAAGUGAAGAUGAUAAUAAAAUGGAUGUCGACAUCCAUCAACGGAUCUCGUAUCGAUCCUUUUAAGAGAGGUUUCUUAACAAACUUGGAUAAAAUAGGAAUAGAAAAAUAAAUUGAAGGGUAAAAAAGAAAAGGGGAGGUGGAGGGAAGAUAUGGGGAGGUGUAGGGAGAAACACUCGUGAAGAUGGAUGGGAGCUGCUAUCCGUGAUGGGUGCUGGACCUUGUGUGAGCUGCAAACGUUUGACGCUGAAAGCUACUGGUGGAUCAUGUUGUUGGCAGCACCGUGAAGCACCUCUUGGACGUUUUUUGCUGAAUGAAGCCAUCCUUCCAAGCCCAAAUUCAGCUGUCGUGUGCACCUGCUUUUUCGUAACACUAUGCUUCCAUUUG
RNAcentral lists this long non-coding RNA (631 nucleotides) under Vigna radiata. RNAcentral's name for it is "long non-coding RNA (VRAD_LNC018606)". The record is from RNAcentral. Lineage: Eukaryota; Viridiplantae; Streptophyta; Magnoliopsida; Fabales; Fabaceae.